UAGCUUAUCGUUAGCUUAUCAUGGUCAAGCC
Molecule: non-coding RNA, 31 nt
Filed under: Mus musculus (house mouse)
Lineage: Eukaryota; Metazoa; Chordata; Mammalia; Rodentia; Muridae
Source: RNAcentral